CAGCAGUGAUGAGUAUUCUACAAUGUUUGUAUAAUUCAUCGUUGUCAAAGCCAUGCUUAAUUAAUCCGUUAAAAGAGCAAGGAACAGUAUGCAGUGCGACACAAAAAGAAAAGAAAAAAACAACACCAACAAUAAUUUUUGGGCGUUCAUAGCCAUGGUUGUCAUCUGUACCGCAGGUGUAGAAUGUAAAACACAGUGGAUAGAUGUUGUGAUGGCAGCUGUAGAGAAGUACUUGGGUGUACAAUAUUUUACUGCAGAGUUAUAAUGUGUUUUGACCGAUAAUAUCCUGUCCUCCCAGGCUGCUGGCCUGGUGUUGAAUCAGAGGGUUUAGUUGGUUUUUCACAAAGUGCAAUGAAUUAAUACUACAGAAUAGUAGACUGAUACACAGCCAAUACACUUGCUGGAGGUAUGAACCUAUAACAAUUGUUUAUGGCGGACCGCCAUAAUACCAAAGAAGAAGAAGACCACUUCCUUCUCAACUGCUUCGAGGCUGCUCGGUGAAACGGAAGUAUAAGUACAUUGACAACUGCGGAGAUUGCAGUGCUGUUAAGUGCUGAUUGACAACUGCAGACUUCGGAUUGAACAUACUUUGGGUUUCACUGGUUCGCUGCACGAACAGCGCAGCGGUAAUCAGUCUGGUAUUUUAUAGGCUACACUUACUGGGCCUCAGAUAAUUAAAACUAUCUGGACUCCCGAAGAGGACGUUGUUCCAACAGACUCGUAUAGAGUUAGACGAGAACAGAUAACAGGAUUCUUGGUGAAUAGGGUGUUGAACGUUUUCCUGACUUUAAUAGAUCAGAAAUGUUGAAGAAAAAAUAGCUUCAACGAUGGAUCGGGACAGAGCUAGUCCGUCCCCCUCCACCCUGCCGGAGUCCCCUGGUCACAACUCUCCUGGUAGCACCUUACUGCUGGGUCUCAAGAGGGUUUUGUGCGGCUGGUCGACUGCAGGAAAACAACAGGGCAGAGGGAGCUGUGAGAGAAGGACACGAGGAUGGAGAUUUGAUGUCAUCAAGGGACACCCCUAACCGUCGUUCUCUCAGUGGCAGGUGCUUAUCUUCUGGGCAUCCUCAACCACAUGUUGCUGACGAGACAGAGAAGAGUCUUUCCAGAUCAGAACAUCUCAAGAAACAUCAGCAGAGGUGUACAGGGAAGAAACCUCACCACUGCUGCUCUGACUGUGGGAAGAGUUUCACAAACCGGAGUGACUUCAUUAUUCACCAGCGGAUUCACACCGGAGAGAAACCGUACUGCUGCUCACAGUGUGGGAAGAGUUUCGCCGUUUCUAACACCUUAAAAUCUCACCUGAGAAUUCAUACAGGGGAGAAGCCUUACCCCUGCCUUGAUUGUGGGAAAAGCUUUUCAUAUUUGGGAGCCCUAAACAUACACAAGCUAACACACACUGGAGUGAAGCCUUAUAGCUGUGAUCAAUGUGGGAAGAGCUAUGCUGUAUCAGAUGCCCUAACUAUACCACCAGUGCA
This is a long non-coding RNA of Oncorhynchus tshawytscha (Chinook salmon), 1478 nucleotides long. RefSeq lists it as uncharacterized. The record is from RefSeq and is a predicted model, not a curated record. The transcript has 4 exons. Lineage: Eukaryota; Metazoa; Chordata; Actinopteri; Salmoniformes; Salmonidae.